RNAcentral lists this unclassified non-coding RNA (1407 nucleotides) under Hevea brasiliensis (rubber tree). The record is from RNAcentral. Lineage: Eukaryota; Viridiplantae; Streptophyta; Magnoliopsida; Malpighiales; Euphorbiaceae.
UGGCUAUCUCUCUCUCUUCCCCCAAGCGUCUCUUGUUGACUCCCACUGGCGUCAAUCCCGAGAGCUGAGAUUUCUGUUAUCUCCCAAAUCCCAGGAAUCUCAACUGCAAAAUCCUAAUGCCGGGCUUCUAGAAGCCUUCAAGUAGAGAAAUGGGUUCUCUUCCAACAUCCUUUAUUAUGAUUAUCUUAAUACUCUCCUUCACUUUCAAUCUCAUCCCCAUCACACACUCUGUUCCCUUCGUAGUUUUGCACGGUAUUGGUGAUAAAUGCACUAAUCGGGGGAUCACUCGCUUCACUGAGCUCUUAAGCAAUUGGUCUGGUGCUCCAGGAUAUUGCCUAGAGAUUGGAGAUGGAUCAUGGGACUCUUGGACUAUACCCCUUCAUGAACAGACGGCAACUGCUUGUGAGAAGGUGAAGAGUAUGAGUGAGCUCGCCAAUGGUUACAACAUUGUUGGGCUUUCUCAGGGGAACAUGCUUGGUCGAGGAAUUAUUGAAUUUUGUGAAGGAGGACCUGCUGUUAAGAAUUUUAUUUCACUGGGAGGUCCCCAUGCUGGUACUGCUUCAGUUCCAUUCUGUGGAUCUGGCCUUGUAUGCAUUCUUGUGGAUGCUUUAAUUCGGUUAGAGAUCUACAGCAGCUAUGUCCAGGAACAUUUGGCUCCUAGUGGCUACCUCAAAAUCCCAACUGACAUUGCUGACUAUCUGAAAGGGUGCAAGUUUCUUCCCAAACUUAACAAUGAAAUCAUAAAAAAUUCUACUUACAAGGAACGUUUUGCCAGCUUAGAGAAUUUGGUUUUAAUCAUGUUUGAGCAGGAUACAGUUUUGAUACCAAAGGAAACCUCCUGGUUUGGAUAUUAUCCAGAUGGGGCCUUUACUCCUGUUCUGCCUGCACAAGAGACUAACCUCUACACUGAAGACUGGAUUGGGUUUAAAACACUGGAUGAAGCGGGAAAAGUUAAAUUCAUUAAUGUCUCUGGGAAUCACCUUGAAAUCUCGCGAAAUGAUAUGAAGAAGUAUAUAGUACCCUAUUUGGAGGGCCAAGCAUCAUACCAGCAGAUAAAAACGGAACCUUCAUCUUGUAGAUGGGUUUCAUCAAUCAGGAACUUCUUUAUUGAACUAUUUGGGCUUACUGAGGAUCAAGCUUUGCUGCAUAUUCUGUAAGCACCUUCAUUUGCUCAAGAAUUAAUUGUUUUGGGAGAGGAGGGGAAUGGAGAAAUUAUACCUUUCAUUGUUCGUUCAUAAUUUCCAGUAGAGAAACAAAAAAGUCCUGUAUAUCCCAUCUGAUGGUUUUAUGAUGUAUGCCUCCGCUUCCAAACAAUGCAAUUGAUGCUAUGAUCUAUGGCAAGUUAUUAGCUAAACUCAUGAACUGUAGUUGUAUGCGUACAAUGAAAUGUUACAGUUGAGUUGAUAA